This 144-nucleotide non-coding RNA is filed under the name Schistosoma mansoni. The record is from RNAcentral. Lineage: Eukaryota; Metazoa; Platyhelminthes; Trematoda; Strigeidida; Schistosomatidae.
CCCGACCGUUGCUGCUACCUUGACGUGGUGGUCGGGCUUGCCUAUCGUGAUGAACCAUUCGAGAUAUACUGGCUAAAAAAAUCGUUCCUCAAGGUCCUACCAUGCCAGACAGGUCGGUUGAAGAGCGGUAAGACUAAAAGUAGC